GAUGAACGCUAGCGGCAGGCUUAAUACAUGCAAGUCGAGGGGCAGCGCGGGUAGCAAUACCUGGCGGCGACCGGCAAACGGGUGCGGAACACGUACGCAACCUUCCCAUAACUGGUGAAUAGCCCUCCGACAGGAGGAUUAAUACACCGUAACAUAACGAAGAGGCAUCUUUUUGUUAUUAUAGUAGCAAUACGGUUUUGGAUGGGCGUGCGCCGGAUUCGGUGGUUGGCGGGGUAACGGCCCACCAAGCCUGCGAUCAGUAACUGGUGGGAGAGCACGACCAGUCAAACGGGCACUGAGACACGGGCCCGACUCCUACGGGAGGCAGCAGUAAGGAAUAUUGGUCAAUGGACGAAAGUCUGAACCAGCCAUGCCGCGUGAAGGAUUAAGGCCCUCUGGGUUGUAAACUUCUUUUAUCUGGGACGAAAAAAGGGCAUUCUUGCUCACUUGACGGUACCAGAGGAAUAAGCACCGGCUCACUCCGUGCCAGCCGCCGCCGUAA
RNAcentral lists this ribosomal RNA (502 nucleotides) under uncultured bacterium. RNAcentral's name for it is "partial 16S ribosomal RNA". It matches the Rfam family "Bacterial small subunit ribosomal RNA", at positions 28 to 523 of the family's 1533-position model. The record is from RNAcentral.